Molecule: ribosomal RNA, 609 nt
Filed under: uncultured bacterium
Lineage: Bacteria
Description: bacterial SSU rRNA
Rfam family: Bacterial small subunit ribosomal RNA
Source: RNAcentral
GAGUCCGCGUCUCAUUAGCUAGACGGUGGGGUAACGGCCUACCGUGGCAACGAUGAAUAGCAGGCCUGAGAGGGUGGCCUGCCACACUGGGACUGGAACACGGCCCAGACUCCUACGGGAGGCAGCAGUGGGGAAUAUUGCGCAAUGGACGAAAGUCUGACGCAGCGACGCCGCGUGGAGGAUGAAGGUUUUCGGAUCGUAAACUCCUGUCAAGAGGGAAGAAACCUGUUGAGACUAAUACUUUCAGCAAUUGACGGUACCUCUAGAGGAAGCACCGGCUAAUUCAGUGCCAGCAGCCGCGGUAUACUGAAGGUGCAAGCGUUAAUCGGAAUCACUGGGCGUAAAGCGCUCGUAGGUGGCUUUGUAAGUCAGGUGUGAAAGCCCACGGCUCAACCGUGGAAUUGCACUUGAUACUGCAUCGCUAGAGUAUAGGAGAGGGAAGUGGAAUUUCUGGUGUAGGAGUGAAAUCCGUAGAGAUCAGAAGGAACACCCGUGGCGAAGGCGACUUCCUGGACUAUUACUGACACUGAGGAGCGAAAGCGUGGGGAGCAAACAGGAUUAGAUACCCUGGUAGUCCACGCCGUAAACGAUGGAUGCUAGGUGCCGGGG